GAGAGAGCAACCUGUCGGGUUGAUAGAAAUAGAGAAAUUGUGAGGAAAAUUGAUAGUGUGUAAAAACAACUUCAUUUUUCAUUUUUGAGUACUUAAUUAAAUUGUUUGUCAUCCGAUUUAAGCUAUUUCAUUCAUUUUGAUAUAGGAUAGAAGAUAGAGCCUAAAUUCUGGAAAACAACACAAAAACAGUAGAUUUCGUGAAGAAACUAUUAGUCAUGGUAUAAGUCUCGAUCAAGGCUUAAACUCUGCAGUAACAACAGACUUUGGCUCGCACACAAUGAAGCCUUGAGCAAGGCUAAUGCAUCAUAAAGGACGACAGGUCUGAGGUACACCCAACUGAACCUCGACAUAUGCAGCAACAGAUUUGAAAAAAAGGCACCCUUUCGAAUUAAAACAAGAAAUCACGUUGCACCUAGAAGAGAAAACUAAGAAUCAAGAAAGAGAUGGUUUUGGAAAGCAUGAAGGAAGCCGAUAUCAUUGGGAAAGAUCCCUAUCUUUGCAAAAACAAAACCCUAAUCCUCUCGGGUUUAAAAGGAGUAAAAAAUUAUAGAACAAGGCAUCUUGGCCACCGUGUACUGCAACAUUUACAGCUUUCUGAAAUUUCCUUCCUUCUCUUUUGAAUAGUCAUAAAACUCUAUUCUGUACUAAGACGACCAU
This 657-nucleotide long non-coding RNA is filed under the name Carica papaya (papaya). RNAcentral's name for it is "long non-coding RNA (CPAP_LNC003407)". The record is from RNAcentral. Lineage: Eukaryota; Viridiplantae; Streptophyta; Magnoliopsida; Brassicales; Caricaceae.